RNAcentral lists this ribosomal RNA (425 nucleotides) under uncultured rumen bacterium. Its description in RNAcentral is "bacterial SSU rRNA". It matches the Rfam family "Bacterial small subunit ribosomal RNA", at positions 354 to 776 of the family's 1533-position model. The record is from RNAcentral.
GUGAGGAAUAUUGGUCAAUGGGCGCAAGCCUGAACCAGCCAUGCCGCGUGAAGGAUUAAGGCCCUAUGGGUCGUAAACUUCUUUUGUGGCGGAGCAAUAAGGUCUACGUGUAGGCCGAUGAGAGUACGUCACGAAUAAGCAUCGGCUAACUCCGUGCCAGCAGCCGCGGUAAUACGGAGGAUGCAAGCGUUAUCCGGAUUUAUUGGGUUUAAAGGGUGCGUAGGCUGUUCGACAAGUCAGGGGUGAAAGCCCGGCGCCUAACGCCGGAACUGCCUUUGAUACUGCCGAGCUGGAAUACGGAUGCCGUGGGAGGAAUGAGUAGUGUAGCGGUGAAAUGCAUAGAUAUUACUCAGAACACCGAUUGCGAAGGCAUCUCACGAAUCCGUCAUUGACGCUGAGGCACGAAAGCGUGGGGAUCAAACAGG